RNAcentral lists this ribosomal RNA (434 nucleotides) under uncultured Clostridium sp. RNAcentral's name for it is "partial 16S ribosomal RNA". It matches the Rfam family "Bacterial small subunit ribosomal RNA", at positions 341 to 792 of the family's 1533-position model. RNAcentral also lists the same sequence under 1 other name. The record is from RNAcentral. Lineage: Bacteria; Bacillati; Bacillota; Clostridia; Eubacteriales; Clostridiaceae.
ACGGGAGGCAGCAGUGGGGAAUAUUGCACAAUGGGGGAAACCCUGAUGCAGCGACGCCGCGUGAGUGAAGAAGUAUUUCGGUAUGUAAAGCUCUAUCAGCAGGAAAGAAAAUGACGGUACCUGGCUAAGAAGCCCCGGCUAACUACGUGCCAGCAGCCGCGGUAAUACGUAGGGGGCAAGCGUUAUCCGGAUUUACUGGGUGUAAAGGGAGCGUAGACGGUAAGGCAAGUCUGAAGUGAAAUGCCAGGGCUCAACCCUGGAACUGCUUUGGAAACUGUCCUACUAGAGUGCAGGAGAGGUAAGUGGAAUUCCUAGUGUAGCGGUGAAAUGCGUAGAUAUUAGGAGGAACACCAGUGGCGAAGGCGGCUUACUGGACUGUAACUGACGUUGAGGCUCGAAAGCGUGGGGAGCAAACAGGAUUAGAUACCCUGGUA